UUUUUCAUCUGUGAUA
Molecule: small RNA, 16 nt
Filed under: Arabidopsis thaliana (thale cress)
Lineage: Eukaryota; Viridiplantae; Streptophyta; Magnoliopsida; Brassicales; Brassicaceae
Description: ATSL156240
Source: RNAcentral